Molecule: non-coding RNA, 379 nt
Organism: Sesamum indicum (sesame)
Lineage: Eukaryota; Viridiplantae; Streptophyta; Magnoliopsida; Lamiales; Pedaliaceae
Source: RefSeq, a predicted model, not a curated record
UUUAUAGAUUCCUAAACAGAGUAGCAGAACAACACUAGGUGAGACUAUCACUAGAGGAUUGAAUGUGCAUAAACCAUCACAUGAACAGAUUGUUCAUUCAGAGCAAAUAACUCAACAACCUGUCCAACAAGAACAUCCACAAUCCUCAACAGCUUAUCAGCAAAAACCUAAAGCUCUUAGAAAGCAAAAAAAGCCAAUAUCUUCUUCAACUAAAUUGCUUAAGAGACAACAACAAGAUGCUCCAGAUCAGUCCUCCCAAUUCAAGAGAAAAUGUUGUGCAGAGAGAAAUCCAUCUAUUUCUUCACUGAUCAAGGGUUUGGCCAACUCAUAUAGGCCAGGACAAACCAAGAAAAAUGAUGAAAAUACUGAUGGAAUAUCA